CAAAUGGAAGGACGCCUCUUCAAAACCAACCACCAACUCAAACCACACAUCGAUCAUCGCUGUUCCUCGGUCAGUUUUGCUGCUUUGCAUCCUGCUUUUAUUAACUAACGUUUUGCUGUGCAAAUCCAUGCAAAACUGACUCAGCAGUGACUUCACCUCCAGCCGUGAUGAACCGUUUUGGGAACGUCUUUCUGGGCCUGUAUGAUGAUACAUUUAAUGUGGCACUUUUCAGCGACUCAGGCUAUUCGAAUGGUGUUUUCUAGGAACUAUUCUGUAGUUGUCUCUGUUCUGCAUCACUUUUUUCAAAUGACUCAAAAGAUGCUUGACUGGUGGUAUUAUCUGUUUUAAGUAUAAGACCCAAUCAGGUUGUAUUGUAACUAGAAGUCAGUCCUGGUCAGGUUGGGUUGUAACUGUAGAAGUCAGUCCCUGUCUGGUUGGGUUGUAGCUGUAGAAGUCAGUCCCUGUCUGGUUGUAACUGUAGAAGUCAGUCCCUGUCAGGUUGUAACUGUAGAAGUCAGUCCCUGUUGGGUUGUAACUGUAGAAGUCAGUCCCUGUCUGGUUGGGUUGUAACUGUAGAAGUCAGUCCCUGUCUGGUUGGGUUGUAGCUGUAGAAGUCAGUCCCUGUCUGGUCUGGUUGUAACUGUAGAAGUCAGUCCCUGUCUGGUUGGGUUGUAGCUGUAGAAGUCAGUCCCUGUCUGGUUGGGUUGUAACUGUAGAAGUCAGUCCCUGUCUGGUUGGGUUGUAACUGUAGAAGUCAGUCCCUGUCUGGUUGGGUUGUAGCUGUAGAAGUCAGUCCCUGUUGGGUUGUAACUGUAGAAGUCAGUCCCUGUCUGGUUGGGUUGUAACUGUAGAAGUCAGUCCCUGUCUGGUUGGGUUGUAGCUGUAGAAGUCAGUCCCUGUCUGGUUGGGUUGUAGCUGUAGAAGUCAGUCCCUGUCUGGUUGGGUUGUAGCUGUAGAAGUCAGUCCCUGUCUGGUUGGGUUGUAACUGUAGAAGUCAGUCCCUGGUCUGGUUGGGUUGUAACUGUAGAAGUCAGUCCCUGUCUGGUUGGGUUGUAGCUGUAGAAGUCAGUCCCUGUCUGGUUGGGUUGUAGCUGUAGAAGUCAGUCCUGGUUGGGUUGUAACUGUAGAAGUCAGUCCCUGUCUGGUUGGGUUGUAACUGUAGAAGUCAGUCCCUGUCUGGUUGGGUUGUAACUGUAGAAGUCAGUCCCUGUUGGGUUGUAGCUGUAGAAGUCAGUCCCUGUUGGGUUGUAACUGUAGAAGUCAGUCUCUGUCUGGUUGUAACUGUAGAAGUCAGUCCCUGUCUGGUUGGGUUGUAACUGUAGAAGUCAGUCCCUGUCUGGUUGGGUUGUAACUGUAGAAGUCAGUCCCUGUCUGGUUGUAGCUGUAGAAGUCAGUCCCUGUUGGGUUGUAACUGUAGAAGUCAGUCCCUGUUGGGUUGUAACUGUAGAAGUCAGUCCCUGUUGGGUUGUAACUGUAGAAGUCAGUCCCUGUCUGGUUGGGUUGUAGCUGUAGAAGUCAGUCCCUGUCUGGUUGGGUUGUAACUGUAGAAGUCAGUCCCUGUCUGGUUGGGUUGUAACUGUAGAAGUCAGUCCCUGUCUGGUUGGGUUGUAGCUGUAGAAGUCAGUCCCUGUUGGGUUGUAACUGUAGAAGUCAGUCCCUGUUGGGUUGUAACUGUAGAAGUCAGUCCCUGUCCUGGUUGUAACUGUAGAAGUCAGUCCCUGUCCUGGUUGUAGCUGUAGAAGUCAGUCCCUGUCCUGGUUGGGUUGUAACUGUAGAAGUCAGUCCCUGUCUGGUUGGGUUGUAACUGUAGAAGUCAGUCCCUGUCUGGUUGGGUUGUAGCUGUAGAAGUCAGUCCCUGGUCAGGUUGGGUUGUAACUGUAGAAGUCAGUCCCUGUUGGGUUGUAGCUGUAGAAGUCAGUCCCUGUCAGGUUGGGUUGUAACUGUAGAAGUCAGUCCCUGUUGGGUUGUAGCUGUAGAAGUCAGUCCCUGUCUGGUUGGGUUGUAACUGUAGAAGUCAGUCCCUGUUGGGUUGUAACUGUAGAAGUCAGUCCCUGUCUGGUUGGGUUGUAUCUGUAGAAGUCAGUCCCUGUCUGGUUGGGUUGUAACUGUAGAAGUCUGUCCCUGUCUGGUUGGGUUGUAGCUGUAGAAGUCAGUCCCUGUCUGGUUGUAACUGUAGAAGUCAGUCCCUGUUGGGUUGUAGCUGUAGAAGUCAGUCCCUGUCUGGUUGUAACUGUAGAAGUCGGUCCCUGUCUGGUUGGGUUGUAGCUGUAGAAGUCAGUCCCUGUCUGGUUGUAACUGUAGAAGUCAGUCCCUGUUGGGUUGUAGCUGUAGAAGUCAGUCCCUGUCUGGUUGGGUUGUAACUGUAGAAGUCAGUCCCUGUCUGGUUGGGUUGUAACUGUAGAAGUCAGUCCCUGUUGGGUUGUAGCUGUAGAAGUCAGUCCCUGUCUGGUUGGGUUGUAACUGUAGAAGUCAGUCCCUGUUGGGUUGUAACUGUAGAAGUCAGUCCCUGUCUGGUUGGGUUGUAACUGUAGAAGUCAGUCCCUGUCUGGUUGGGUUGUAACUGUAGAAGUCAGUCCCUGUCUGGUUGGGUUGUAACUGUAGAAGUCAGUCCCUGUCCUGGUCAGGUUGGGUUGUAGCUGUAGAAGUCAGUCCUGGUUGGGUUGUAACUGUAGAAGUCAGUCCCUGUCCUGGUCAGGUUGGGUUGUAGCUGUAGAAGUCAGUCCAGGUUGGGUUGUAGCUGUAGAAGUCAGUCCCUGUUGGGUUGGGUUGUAACUGUAGAAGUCAGUCCCUGUCUGGUUGUAACUGUAGAAGUCAGUCCCUGUCAGGUUGGGUUGUAACUGUAGAAGUCAGUCCCUGUCUGGUUGGGUUGUAACUGUAAAAGUCAGUCCCGGUCAGGUUGGGUUGUAACUGUAGAAGUCAGUCCCUGUUGGGUUGUAACUGUAGAAGUCAGUCCCUGUUGGGUUGUAACUGUAGAAGUCAGUCCCUGUCCUGGUUGUAACUGUAGAAGUCAGUCCCUGUCCUGGUUGUAGCUGUAGAAGUCAGUCCCUGUCCUGGUUGGGUUGUAACUGUAGAAGUCAGUCCCUGUCUGGUUGGGUUGUAACUGUAGAAGUCAGUCCCUGUCUGGUUGGGUUGUAGCUGUAGAAGUCAGUCCCUGGUCAGGUUGGGUUGUAACUGUAGAAGUCAGUCCCUGUUGGGUUGUAGCUGUAGAAGUCAGUCCCUGUCAGGUUGGGUUGUAACUGUAGAAGUCAGUCCCUGUUGGGUUGUAGCUGUAGAAGUCAGUCCCUGUCUGGUUGGGUUGUAACUGUAGAAGUCAGUCCCUGUUGGGUUGUAACUGUAGAAGUCAGUCCCUGUCUGGUUGGGUUGUAUCUGUAGAAGUCAGUCCCUGUCUGGUUGGGUUGUAACUGUAGAAGUCUGUCCCUGUCUGGUUGGGUUGUAGCUGUAGAAGUCAGUCCCUGUCUGGUUGUAACUGUAGAAGUCAGUCCCUGUUGGGUUGUAGCUGUAGAAGUCAGUCCCUGUCUGGUUGUAACUGUAGAAGUCAGUCCCUGUCUGGUUGGGUUGUAGCUGUAGAAGUCAGUCCCUGUCUGGUUGUAACUGUAGAAGUCAGUCCCUGUUGGGUUGUAGCUGUAGAAGUCAGUCCCUGUCUGGUUGGGUUGUAACUGUAGAAGUCAGUCCCUGUCUGGUUGGGUUGUAACUGUAGAAGUCAGUCCCUGUUGGGUUGUAGCUGUAGAAGUCAGUCCCUGUCUGGUUGGGUUGUAACUGUAGAAGUCAGUCCCUGUUGGGUUGUAACUGUAGAAGUCAGUCCCUGUCUGGUUGGGUUGUAACUGUAGAAGUCAGUCCCUGUCUGGUUGGGUUGUAACUGUAGAAGUCAGUCCCUGUCUGGUUGGGUUGUAACUGUAGAAGUCAGUCCCUGUCCUGGUCAGGUUGGGUUGUAGCUGUAGAAGUCAGUCCCUGUUGGGUUGGGUUGUAACUGUAGAAGUCAGUCCCUGUCUGGUUGUAACUGUAGAAGUCAGUCCCUGUCAGGUUGGGUUGUAACUGUAGAAGUCAGUCCCUGUCUGGUUGGGUUGUAACUGUAGAAGUCAGUCCCGGUCAGGUUGGGUUGUAACUGUAGAAGUCAGUCCCUGUCUGGUUGGGUUGUAACUGUAGAAGUCAGUCCCUGUCUGGUUGGGUUGUAACUGUAGAAGUCAGUCCCUGUCCUGGUUGGGUUGUAACUGUAGAAGUCAGUCCCUGUCCUGGUUGGGUUGUAACUGUAGAAGUCAGUCCCUGUUGGGUUGUAACUGUAGAAGUCAGUCCCUGUCUGGUUGGGUUGUAGCUGUAGAAGUCAGUCCUGGUUGGGUUGUAACUGUAGAAGUCAGUCCCUGUCUGGUUGUAACUGUAGAAGUCAGUCCCUGUUGGGUUGUAGCUGUAGAAGUCAGUCCCUGUCUGGUUGGGUUGUAACUGUAGAAGUCAGUCCCUGUUGGGUUGUAACUGUAGAAGUCAGUCCCUGUCUGGUUGGGUUGUAACUGUAGAAGUCAGUCCCUGUCUGGUUGGGUUGUAACUGUAGAAGUCAGUCCCUGUCUGGUUGGGUUGUAACUGUAGAAGUCAGUCCCUGUCUGGUUGGGUUGUAACUGUAGAAGUCAGUCCCUGUCCUGGUCAGGUUGGGUUGUAGCUGUAGAAGUCAGUCCUGGUUGGGUUGUAACUGUAGAAGUCAGUCCCUGUCCUGGUCAGGUUGGGUUGUAGCUGUAGAAGUCAGUCCCUGUUGGGUUGUAACUGUAGAAGUCAGUCCCUGUCAGGUUGGGUUGUAACUGUAGAAGUCAGUCCCUGUCCUGGUCAGGUUGGGUUGUAACUGUAGAAGUCAGUCCCUGUCAGGUUGGGUUGUAACUGUAGAAGUCAGUCCCUGUCUGGUUGGGUUGUAGCUGUAGAAGUCAGUCCUGGUUGGGUUGUAACUGUAGAAGUCAGUCCCUGUCUGGUUGUAACUGUAGAAGUCAGUCCCUGUCAGGUUGUAACUGUAGAAGUCAGUCCCUGUCAGGUUGUAACUGUAGAAGUCAGUCCCUGUUGGGUUGUAACUGUAGAAGUCAGUCCCUGUCAGGUUGUAACUGUAGAAGUCAGUCCCUGUCUGGUUGGGUUGUAACUGUAGAAGUCAGUCCCUGUCAGGUUGGGUUGUAGCUGUAGAAGUCAGUCCCUGUUGGGUUGUAACUGUAGAAGUCAGUCCCUGUCUGGUUGGGUUGUAGCUGUAGAAGUCAGUCCCUGUCUGGUUGGGUUGUAACUGUAGAAGUCAGUCCUGGUCAGGUUGGGUUGUAACUGUAGAAGUCAGUCCCUGUCAGGUUGGGUUGUAGCUGUAGAAGUCAGUCCCUGUCUGGUUGAGAUGUAGCUGUAGAAGUCAGUCCCUGUCUGGUUGGGUUGUAACUGUAGAAGUCAGUCCCUGUCUGGUUGGGUUGUAACUGUAGAAGUCAGUCCCUGUCCUGGUCAGGUUGGGAGGGGUGUCAGUGCUGUUACUCUGAAGGUAUUGCACUUGUCCCGGCCUGUUUAGGAUUGAGGAGAUGGUGCUCCUACUCUUUGAACCUGCUAAAGCAGUAAUUGCUUGAUGCAUGUUUGAAAUGAAUGAAUGAAACCUAUAUUUACCAAAAAUGAGACUUGUAUGUUUUCUGUCUCAUGAUUCUGUUUUUUUUCUAGAUUAGUUUUUAAUGAAUGAAGAGGUAAUUUUCUAAAUUGUAGAUUGAUUGUCAGAGCUUAAAUGUGUCCGUCCAUAUGGUGAGGAAUUGUUUCAUGCUGUGGUUUUGUCUCAAAUAAAGUUUCCAUGUAAAUUA
Long non-coding RNA from Oncorhynchus nerka (sockeye salmon), 5783 nucleotides. RefSeq lists it as uncharacterized. The record is from RefSeq and is a predicted model, not a curated record. Lineage: Eukaryota; Metazoa; Chordata; Actinopteri; Salmoniformes; Salmonidae. The transcript has 2 exons.